This is a non-coding RNA of Podarcis muralis (Common wall lizard), 1446 nucleotides long. Lineage: Eukaryota; Metazoa; Chordata; Lepidosauria; Squamata; Lacertidae. The record is from RefSeq and is a predicted model, not a curated record.
CGAGGCAAGUCUCUCGAGCGCCUUCCUCUUUGCAGCCGAGCUGCCCGUUGGCCUCCCUGAGGCGACGCUGGGCGGCCCGUUGGCCUCUCCGCCCGCCUCCGGGUCCCGUCGGGUCAAGGGGCCGCGUGGCCGCCCUUCACACGCACCCGACACGCCCAGCUGACCUUUCCAACACCUGAGCCCACCUGAAUCUUUUAAACACGUUAACAUGUCUGGGCCCCAUCCAUAUAGAUGCAGACAAUAUUCAACCUUCUCUCCAUCAGACAAUAGCCUAGACUGUUGUAUGUGUGCAGAUGGAUAAAUAGGGAUAUACUUAAGUGUCCACUGCCAUCCAGGUUGAAACCAGGCAAUAGUGGGUGUUCCUGUUAGCAUCAGGAGGUUGAAACUGGCAAGAGCCCUGAGAUUAUGGCUUCAAAAGGCAGCAGCUGAAUUUCAAUGACUUUUCCAAUGGGGCUGUUCAUCCCUCUCUGCAUUUGUUCACAAGAUAAGUAAUGCCAGCGAAUCAGUUUCUAUGAGCUGUGGGAUGAAGAGUCAAAGUCUGGGUUGUUGUCCUGCCCACCACUGACAUGCGACCCCCAGAAGGAAUGUGGUCCUCAGGCUGAAAAUAUUUCAGUGGAACCAUAGUAGCCCCAACUCAGUGGGAGUCAAUGACAACUAAAGGCCCCUUGAAAUGAAGAAGUGCCUGACUGAAAAGUGGCGCUAAUAGCUACAGUAGAAUUGUUUAAGGCUCAGUCUGAGAACGACCGUUGCUGAAGCAAUAUUUGAGCUCUGCUCUUCCAAAUUCUCCAGCCUGAGCCCUGCAUAGAGUUCUCCAGGGUGCUACUGAAACUUGCCUUGCCUCUGUACUCCUAAGGCUGCUCCUCAAAUCAGAAUAUUAUAUUGCAGAGAAAUAAAAAGAAAACUUUAUGGCUUCUAGAAAGACUUGCCUUUCUCAUUUCUGCUGUUUGUUCCCUGGUUAUUCCUCAUUUGGACGACUAGGAGCUUGUCCACCCCAGAGUUCACUAUGCGUUCAUUGUGUCUUUGCAUUUCCAUUUAAUUUGCAUAGUCCACAAAUCAUUAUCUUCAAACAACACCAAUAUUGUUGAUUCUCCACUGUGAAUUUGGGGUUACCUAAUAUGGAAAUUAUCCAAUAAAUUGAGGGAAAUUGAUCUUUAAACUUCUGAACUUGAGGGUUACAGAUUAUUUGGGGGGGUUUUGUGGGGUGUGUGUGUGGAUGGCUUAGUCAUCACUUUCUGCCACUACUUCCUCAAUGCUUUCAUUGCUUUUCUGGCUGUGCUUGUAACAAUAUGCAGUGCUCUCCUAAAUGCAGGAGCUCACCCUUGAUCCCUCAGAUUUGCAUGAAAUCAGAAAAAUGCAAAGCAAACCACUCCACGUGAUUGUGCUGAGAAUUUACAAUUGCCUGACUCUGUGCUUUUGUGUACUUCCUGGGCAGGGUUUUAUUUUUUA